RNAcentral lists this ribosomal RNA (253 nucleotides) under uncultured bacterium. RNAcentral's name for it is "partial 16S ribosomal RNA". It matches the Rfam family "Bacterial small subunit ribosomal RNA", at positions 524 to 776 of the family's 1533-position model. The record is from RNAcentral.
UACAGAGGUCCCAAGCGUUGUUCGGAUUUACUGGGCGUAAAGGGUGCGUAGGUGGUGAGGUAAGUCUGAUGUGAAAUCUCCGAGCUUAACUCGGAAAUGGCAUUGGAAACUACCUUGCUAGAGGGUUGGAGGGGGGACUGGAAUACUUGGUGUAGCAGUGAAAUGCGUAGAUAUCAAGUGGAACACCAGUGGCGAAGGCAGCACUCUGGGACGGUACUGACGCUGAGACGCGAAAGCGUGGGGAGCAAACAGG